Molecule: ribosomal RNA, 688 nt
Filed under: Turdus philomelos (song thrush)
Lineage: Eukaryota; Metazoa; Chordata; Aves; Passeriformes; Turdidae
Description: partial 12S ribosomal RNA
Rfam family: Bacterial small subunit ribosomal RNA
Source: RNAcentral
GGUAAAUCUCGUGCCAGCCACCGCGGUCAUACAGGAGGCUCAAAUUAACUUUACAACGGCGUAAAGAGUGGUCGCAUGUUAUCCAAGUAGCUAAGAUUAAAAAGCAACUGAGCUGUCAUAAGCCCAAGAUGCUCAUAAGGCCUCCGUCUUCAAAGAAGAUCUUAGAACAACGAUUAAUUGAAGCCACGAAAGCCAGGACCCAAACUGGGAUUAGAUACCCCACUAUGCCUGGCCCUAAAUCUUGAUGCUCGAUAUUACCUGAGCAUCCGCCCGAGAACUACGAGCACAAACGCUUAAAACUCUAAGGACUUGGCGGUGCUCCAAACCCACCUAGAGGAGCCUGUUCUGUAAUCGAUGAUCCACGAUAUUACCUGACCAUUCCUUGCACGAAACAGCCUAUAUACCGCCGUCGCCAGCCCACCUUUCCUGACAGCCCAACAGUGGACGCAAUAGCCUAACCCGCUAGCAAGACAGGUCAAGGUAUAGCCCACGGAAUGGAAGCAAUGGGCUACAUUUUCUAGACUAGAACACACGGAUAAGGGUAUGAAACUGCCCUUGGAAGGCGGAUUUAGCAGUAAAGAGAGACAAUGGAGCCCUCUUUAAGCCGGCUCUGGAGCACGUACAUACCGCCCGUCACCCUCCUCAUAAGCGACCAACACACCCCAUACCUAAUAAGCCAUUCAGCUAA